RNAcentral lists this ribosomal RNA (253 nucleotides) under uncultured bacterium. RNAcentral describes it as "partial 16S ribosomal RNA". It matches the Rfam family "Bacterial small subunit ribosomal RNA", at positions 524 to 776 of the family's 1533-position model. The record is from RNAcentral.
UACAGAGGGGGCAAGCGUUGUUCGGAAUUACUGGGCGUAAAGGGCGCGUAGGUGGCCUUCUAAGUUGAACGUGAAAUCCCUGGGCUCAACCCAGGAACUGCGUCCGAUACUGGUUGGCUUGAAUCCGGGAGAGGGAUGUGGAAUUCCAGGUGUAGCGGUGAAAUACGUAGAUAUCUGGAGGUACACCUGUCACACUAGCGACAUCCUUUCCCGGUAUUAACGCUUAAACUCAAAAGCUAGGUUAUCAAACAGC